ACACCCGGCGGUGCCACCCCCGGGGCGGGGGAGGGGACGCCGUGGUGUCCUCGGGGGUUUUGGGGUCACAGUGCCACCCUCGGGGACCGGGCGUGGCCUCCGCGGCGGUGGGGUCACCUGCGGGGUCACAGUGUCACCCACAGGGACGUGGGGUCACCUGCAGGGUCACAGUGUCACCUGCAGGGUCACAGUGUCACCUGCGGGGUCACAGUGUCACCCACAGGGAUGUGGGGUCACCCACAGGGGUCGCAGUGUCACCUGCAGGGUCACAGUGUCACCUGCGGGGUCACAGGGUCACUCAUGGGGUCACAGUGUCACCCACAGGGACAUGGGGUCACCCACAGAGGCACAGUGUCACCUGUGGGGUCACGGUGUCACCUGCAAGGUCACAGGGUCACCCACGGGGACGUGGGGUCACCCACAGGUUCACGGUGUCACCCACAGGGACAUGGCGUCACCUGCGGGGUCACAGUGUCACCGUGGGAAUGUGGUGUCACCCACAGUGAUGUGGUGUCACUCGCGGGGACAGGCAUUGAUUGGUGUCACCCACAGGGUCACAGUGUCACCUCUGGGGUCACAGCGUCACCCCAGGGACAGGGACACCCAGCGCUGUCCCCUGGGGCUGUCGGUGGCCGUGCUCUCACCUUGGGUGUCACACAUCGUGGCCGUGGUGGCACUUUGGGGACGAAACGUGUCCUCAGCGGGGACCUGUCCCAAUCCUUGUCACCCCGAGUGUCACCUCAGGUGCCACCAGCUGUCCUUUUCCUCCCUGGUGUCACCGCCAGGCCACAGGGAUCCUCGUCCUCGCUGUCACUCGCUGCCGCAGGGACCCGUCCUGUCCUCGGUGUCCCCAAAGUCCCCGCGAGUGCCACAACUCCUUGUCCUCGCUGUCACCGCAGCUGCCGCCAGGGCCGGUUCCCGUCCUCGCCGGUGUCACCGGAGUCCCGGUGCUGUCACUGUCCUUGUGCUCGCCGUCCCUGCGGUGUCACCCAGGCGACACCUUCCUCCUCCUCCUCCUCCCCCUCGCCGGUGCCACAGGGUCCCCUCCGUGUCCGUGUCCGUGUCCGUGUCCCUCACUGUCCCUGCUGCCACCGCAGCGUGUCCUUGUCCUCGCUGCUGCCACCUCAGCAGCCGGGGGUGUCACCCCCUCCGUGUCCUCGCUGUCANCCACAGUCUCACCUGCGCACUAAACCACACCCACAGCCUCACCUGGGCGCUUAACCCCGCCCAUAGCACAGAAGUCACGCCCACAGCCUCACCUGGGCACUAAACCCCGCCCACAGGGGGGGGGGGGGGGGGGGGGGGGGGGG
Molecule: long non-coding RNA, 1310 nt
Filed under: Ficedula albicollis (Collared flycatcher)
Lineage: Eukaryota; Metazoa; Chordata; Aves; Passeriformes; Muscicapidae
Description: lncRNA (ENSFALG00000024105.1)
Source: RNAcentral